Hypanus sabinus (Atlantic stingray) is the source of this 1095-nucleotide long non-coding RNA. RefSeq lists it as uncharacterized. The record is from RefSeq and is a predicted model, not a curated record. The transcript is spliced from 3 exons. Lineage: Eukaryota; Metazoa; Chordata; Chondrichthyes; Myliobatiformes; Dasyatidae.
CCUUCAGGUCAAAGAUGUGUCCUAUGAAAGGCUUCCUCUGGAAACUGUAUGUGUUGUAAGUGCCUAAGCAGCAGGCAGUGUGCACUAGUAAGGAGAGGACUGCUGCAUGCUGCAUUAUGCAACAGAAAUAAAGGCAGGGACUGUUUGGAAGGAGAGCCGGGGUAUCUUUCUGACGCCAUGAAUGACAGCUAAGUGGUUCUGGAAGAAUAAUAUGGGAGAAUCAAGAAUCAAAGAUAAUCGGAAAAAAAGAAGAAAAAAGUUCAAACUGUAAAAGGUAAAAUGGAAGGUUUACAACCCCCACUGAAAUUUCAGCUGACUGGCAAUAGAACUGAGAUUUGGAGGAUAUUCAAGCAACAGUCUGAACUGUACUUAUCAGAGAUCGAUUAUGAAGAAAAAUCUGAAAAAAACCAAAACUGCGCUUUUGCGCCAUGUAAUCAGGAAUGACGCAGUAGAGGUAUAUAAUAAUUUUGUCUUUGAAGAUGGAGAUAAUUUCAAUUUAAAGUUGAUAGUGGACAGAUUUGAAGUAUUUUGUAUGCCUAAGUGUAAUUUAACGUAUGAGCGAUAUAAAUUCUUCACGUGUGCGCAGAGAGCUGCUGAAACAAUUGAUCAGUAUGUUACUGAGUUAAGAAAGCGUAGUAGAACAUGCGAGUUUGGAUUGCUCACGGACUCUCUCAUUAAAGAUGGACUUGUUUGUGGCAUUCGAGAUAAUGCUCUGAGACAAAGGCUGUUGAGAGAGCAAAAAUUAAAUUUUGAAAAAGCUUUGGUGCUUUGCAAAGCUUCUGAGACCUUGACAGUGCGGACUGAAGAGCUUUUUGUCGAAAACUGCAAUGUAAAUACUGUCUUUUAAAAAAAAAGUGUGACUAUUUGCAAUGGCUAUGGUAAGAUUAAUCAUUUUUUAUGCUGUUGUAAAAGUAGAAAGAAGGAAAAUAAACUGAAACAAGUAAAUGCUGUGCCUGAAGAUGAAUGUGAGGAAUUUUAUAUAGAUGUGCUUUGUGAAAAUAAAUAAAAUAAGAAUGACUGGACCAUUCCAUUGCAAGUGAAUCAAAAUGAUAUUCUAUUUAAACUUGAUACUGGAGCACAAGUAAGUGUUCUUGG